This 490-nucleotide ribosomal RNA is filed under the name uncultured bacterium. Its description in RNAcentral is "partial 16S ribosomal RNA". It matches the Rfam family "Bacterial small subunit ribosomal RNA", at positions 30 to 507 of the family's 1533-position model. The record is from RNAcentral.
AUUGAACGCUGGCGGCAGGCCUAACACAUGCAAGUCGAACGGUAACAGGGAUCAGCUUGCUGAUUCGCUGACGAGUGGCGGACGGGUGAGUAAUGUCUGGGAAACUGCAUGAUGGAGGGGGAUAACUACUGGAAACGGUAGCUAAUACCGCAUAACGUCGCAAGACCAAAGAGGGGGACCUUCGGGCCUCUUGCCAUCGGAUGUGCCCAGAUGGGAUUAGCUAGUAGGUGGGGUAACGGCUCACCUAGGCGACGAUCCCUAGCUGGUCUGAGAGGAUGACCAGCCACACUGGAACUGAGACACGGUCCAGACUCCUACGGGAGGCAGCAGUGGGGAAUAUUGCACAAUGGGCGCAAGCCUGAUGCAGCCAUGCCGCGUGUAUGAAGAAGGCCUUCGGGUUGUAAAGUACUUUCAGCGGGGAGGAAGGGAGUAAAGUUAAUACCUUUGCUCAUUGACGUUACCCGCAGAAGAAGCACCGGCUAACUCCGUG